Molecule: transfer RNA, 73 nt
Filed under: Patescibacteria group bacterium
Lineage: Bacteria
Also listed under: 1 other name
Description: tRNA-Phe
Rfam family: tRNA
About the family: Transfer RNA (tRNA) molecules are approximately 80 nucleotides in length. Their secondary structure includes four short double-helical elements and three loops (D, anti-codon, and T loops). Further hydrogen bonds mediate the characteristic L-shaped molecular structure. tRNAs have two regions of fundamental functional importance: the anti-codon, which is responsible for specific mRNA codon recognition, and the 3' end, to which the tRNAs corresponding amino acid is attached (by aminoacyl-tRNA synthetases). tRNAs cope with the degeneracy of the genetic code in two manners: having more than one tRNA (with a specific anti-codon) for a particular amino acid; and 'wobble' base-pairing, i.e. permitting non-standard base-pairing at the 3rd anti-codon position.
Source: RNAcentral
GCCGAAGUUGCCAAUGUGGUCAAGGCGUCCGCCUGAAGAGCGGAUUAUCGGUGUUCGAUUCACCGCUUCGGCA